RNAcentral lists this long non-coding RNA (884 nucleotides) under Ananas comosus (pineapple). RNAcentral's name for it is "long non-coding RNA (ACOM_LNC024478)". Lineage: Eukaryota; Viridiplantae; Streptophyta; Magnoliopsida; Poales; Bromeliaceae. The record is from RNAcentral.
GGAGGAAGAAGAAGAAGAAGAAGAGGGAAAAAAAAAAAGAAGCUCCAGCUGAAGGAAAAAGAAGAAGAAAAAGAAAAAGAGAAAAAAAAUUUGCUCCUGCAGGAAGAAGAAGAAGAAGAAGAGCCCGCCUGGCGGUGCUCCGGCGGCGUGCCCGCCUAGCCUUCGCUAUUUUUUUUCGACGAAAAAAAAAAGAACGAGAGAACGAAGAGGAGAGAGAAAGAAGAAAGAGAAAAAGUAAUAAGGGUAUUUUGGUCAGUUUGUUGAAAAAACGGACCGAAUUUGCAAAAACGAAAAAGAUGACCCAAUUUUACAAAAGUCCAAAAUAAGUGAAUUUUUUAUGCAAAAAGGCCUUUCUAAUCAGAUGUAAAGUCAUUAUCUAGCAAUUCGCCACAUGAUUUUAAUGGAUGCCGCACUCAUUUGGAUUUCGUUGCCCACUUUGUCAAAGAAGCUAUGAUUACGUUCCACACCCACCGAUCGAGUUCUUUUUUCUUUCUUUUUUUUUUUUUUUAUUAAUCUUCAAAUAUUAUCAUGUAAUUUCACACUUUUUUAUUUUAAUAUCCUAUAAUUUAAAGUGUAUUAAUUUAGUAGCCUAUAAUUUUAUUUUAUUUUUUUUGUUAUUUUCUCCAUUAUUUUUUUUAUUAAAUCAGUGACAAAGUUAAAAUUAAAAAAUUAUUAAGUUAAUAUUUGAGAAAUCUAGAUAAAAUAUUUAAAGUUUUUUUAAUAUAAUUUAAUAAAAUAUUAAUCGAGUCGCUGACGAAAAAAAAAAAAAGAAGAAGUUACAGAAUAUUAAAUUGAUAUAAUUUUAAAUCAUAGUGUAUUAAAAUAAGAAAGUGCAAAAAAUUGUAUGGAUGAUAUUUAAAGUUUACUUUUUCAAAAAAAUAAGA